GUAGAGCAAUGGAUAGCGCGUUGGACUUCUAAUCCAAAAUUCAUGGGUUCGAAUCCCACCUCA
RNAcentral lists this transfer RNA (63 nucleotides) under Trichonephila clavata. RNAcentral describes it as "tRNA-Arg". It matches the Rfam family "tRNA", at positions 7 to 64 of the family's 71-position model. From Rfam's summary of the family: Transfer RNA (tRNA) molecules are approximately 80 nucleotides in length. The record is from RNAcentral. Lineage: Eukaryota; Metazoa; Arthropoda; Arachnida; Araneae; Nephilidae.